RNAcentral lists this ribosomal RNA (253 nucleotides) under uncultured bacterium. Its description in RNAcentral is "partial 16S ribosomal RNA". It matches the Rfam family "Bacterial small subunit ribosomal RNA", at positions 524 to 776 of the family's 1533-position model. The record is from RNAcentral.
UACGUAGGGAGCAAGCGUUGUCCGGAAUCAUUGGGCGUAAAGCGCGCGUAGGUGGCUUCAUAAGUCCGUUGUGAAAGUCAAAGGCUCAACCUUUGAAAGCCGAUGGAUACUGUGGAGCUAGAGUACGGAAGAGGCGAGUGGAAUUCCUGGUGUAGCGGUGGAAUGCGCAGAUAUCAGGAGGAACACCGGUGGCGAAGGCGGGUCUCUGGGCAGUAACUGACGCUGAGGAGCGAAAGCGUGGGGAGCGAACAGG